Camelus dromedarius (Arabian camel) is the source of this 1320-nucleotide long non-coding RNA. RefSeq lists it as uncharacterized. The record is from RefSeq and is a predicted model, not a curated record. The transcript is spliced from 3 exons. Lineage: Eukaryota; Metazoa; Chordata; Mammalia; Artiodactyla; Camelidae.
ACAGUCGGGGUGAGAAGGGUGUCUCCCGGCUCUGGGGAAGUGGGACGGGCUCUUAAUGAAGUCGCUCAGACUGCGAUGACGUAGUCCUUCUGGGCCCCGCAGCUGUCCUGUUGAUACCGUAGUGUCGUCUAGACGCUUUUACCCAUCAGAGCACUGAUAUUUUUGUCCACGUCUCUCAUCCAAAGAAGGCUAGAUGUUUUGCUGGUCUUAACUCAGGUCUCUGUUUUGACAAAAUUGCACCUGUAUUACAAGCAACGAAGAUGAGAACGGUAACGCUUCAAAAGCUCGUAAUAGGAGGACUUGACCUGAUCAGGGAGGUCGGCAGAGGCAGUGAUGCUCGAGGGCUAGAAACCUGAUGAAAUGGCCCACAAGAGGAACAAGAAGAGAACUCGCAGAUUGACCAGCAGCGCUGUGACACUGAAAUUCAUCUCUUUGCCAUGUACCAGCUUCUCCUUCUGGUUAAUAUCUUUCAAGUUGGGUUUCUGUUACUCCUUUCCCACCUCAUACACCACUGAUUUCCUGAGCUGGGCCCAUGAUGAGUUUGUGUGCUAAGAAGAGCCAGCGUUCAGCACUGUGGAUUCACUGCUGGCACAGAAGUACCGCGCUGAGUCCCCUGCCUGAGUGGAGUUGAUUUCCAGGCUGCAGGGUGAGUUUUUGGGACAUUUAGCUGAAUAUCGCUGUUCAAAUCCUGCUAUCUUUUCCACAAUGUCUUCAUUCCGUAAGUAAACCAAAAACUCGAACGCUUCUUCCAGCUUCUUACGAUACCAGAAAACGAAAGUAUGUCCUUUUAUGGGGACACAGUGCAUCUUUGCUCUCUGUUCCUUUCCUCUGACCAGAUGUCCAGGACUCUGGGUGACCCCCGUGUCCACGGAGCCUGCGGGAGAAAGAGACAAAGUGGAGACAAAGCCCAGGAGGAGGCUGAUUCUGCAGCCACAGGAGAAAGUCCUGGAUCUGGAAUCUGAGAAGUUCACAGCAGGAACUCACCUGCUCCCCAGAGCAAAAGGGCCACACAGCAGAGGAGACUGAAGCACAUGGUUGGCUCAGGGGAAAAGCAGGGCAGGUGGCUGUUUGUCUAAGGCUCCUCAUCCCCCAUCAGCAACGUCCUUGUGACGUGGUCCCUUCCCAUGUCAUCACAGUCCCCGUGGAGAGGAAACUACACAUUUUAUAGGCUGGAGGGCAGGGAAAGCUGGUGAUGCAACUAGUGUGGCUUUCAAACUGCUUUUUAUUGCCUUUUUCCUGACUCUGCUUUUUCAUUAUUAAAAAUAAAUAAAUAAAACCAUUUACAUCAUUAAUUUAUUUGCUCUUAACUUGUCAAUUUCC